AGUGAACGCUGGCGGUAGGCCUAACACAUGCAAGUCGAACGGCAGCACAGUAAGAGCUUGCUCUUACGGGUGGCGAGUGGCGGACGGGUGAGGAAUACAUCGGAAUCUACUUUUUCGUGGGGGAUAACGUAGGGAAACUUACGCUAAUACCGCAUACGACCUACGGGUGAAAGCAGUGGAUCUUCGGACCUUGCGCGAUUGAAUGAGCCGAUGUCGGAUUAGCUAGUUGGCGGGGUAAAGGCCCACCAAGGCGACGAUCCGUAGCUGGUCUGAGAGGAUGAUCAGCCACACUGGAACUGAGACACGGUCCAGACUCCGACGGGAGGCAGCAGUGGGGAAUAUUGGACAAUGGGCGCAAGCAUGAUCCAGCCAUACCGCGUGGGUGAAGAAGGCCUUCGGGUUGUAAAGCCCUUUUGUUGGGAAAGAAAAGCAGCAGGUUAAUACCCCGCUGUUCUGACGGUACCCAAAGAAUAAGCACCGGCUAACUUCGUG
RNAcentral lists this ribosomal RNA (492 nucleotides) under uncultured bacterium. Its description in RNAcentral is "partial 16S ribosomal RNA". It matches the Rfam family "Bacterial small subunit ribosomal RNA", at positions 29 to 507 of the family's 1533-position model. The record is from RNAcentral.